UAAUAGAUACCCCGGUAGUCCACGCCCUAAACGAUGCGAACUGGAUGUUGGGUACAUUACGGUACUCAGUGUCGAAGCUAACGCGUUAAGUUCGCCGCCUGGGGAGUACGGUCGCAAGACUGAAACUCAAAGGAAUUGACGGGGGCCCGCACAAGCGGUGGAGUAUGUGGUUUAAUUCGAUGCAACGCGAAGAACCUUACCUGGCCUUGACAUCUGUCGAAUCCUGCAGAGAUGCGGGAGUGCCGCAAGGAACGACAAGACAGGUGCUGCAUGGCUGUUGUCAGCUCGUGUCGUGAGACUGUUGGGUUAAGUCCCGCAACGAGCGCAACCCUUGUCCCUAGUUGCCAGCACGUAAUGGUGGGAACUCUAGGGAGACUGCCGGUGACAAACCGGAGGAAGUGGGGAUGACGUCAAGUCCUCAUGGCCCUUAGGCCAGGGCUACACACGUACUACAAUGGUCGGUACAGAGGGUUGCGAAGCCGCGAGUGGAGCCAAUCCCAGAAAACCGAUCCCAGUCCGGAUCGGAGUCUGCAACUCGAC
RNAcentral lists this ribosomal RNA (540 nucleotides) under uncultured bacterium. RNAcentral describes it as "bacterial SSU rRNA". It matches the Rfam family "Bacterial small subunit ribosomal RNA", at positions 776 to 1316 of the family's 1533-position model. The record is from RNAcentral.